RNAcentral lists this ribosomal RNA (249 nucleotides) under uncultured bacterium. RNAcentral's name for it is "partial 16S ribosomal RNA". It matches the Rfam family "Bacterial small subunit ribosomal RNA", at positions 356 to 622 of the family's 1533-position model. The record is from RNAcentral.
GGGGAAUAUUGGACAAUGGGGGCAACCCUGAUCCAGCAAUGCCGCGUGUGUGAAGAAGGUUUUCGGAUUGUAAAGCACUUUCGACGGGGACGAUGAUGACGGUACCCGUGGAAGAAGCCCCGGCUAACUUCGUGCCAGCAGCCGCGGUAAUACGAAGGGGGCUAGCGUUGCUCGGAAUGACUGGGCGUAAAGGGCGUGUAGGCGGUUUGUACAGUCAGAUGUGAAAUCCCCGGGCUUAACCCUGGGAGC